GCCAGCAUGGUGCAGUGGUUUGAGUGUUAGACUAGGACACUGGAGACCAGGGUUCGUAUCCCUGUUCAGCCA
Phrynosoma platyrhinos (Desert horned lizard) is the source of this 72-nucleotide non-coding RNA. NCBI's taxonomy places the organism in Eukaryota, Metazoa, Chordata, Lepidosauria, Squamata, Phrynosomatidae. The record is from the annotation of a GenBank genome assembly.